This 939-nucleotide unclassified non-coding RNA is filed under the name Hevea brasiliensis (rubber tree). The record is from RNAcentral. Lineage: Eukaryota; Viridiplantae; Streptophyta; Magnoliopsida; Malpighiales; Euphorbiaceae.
UAUAUAUACAUACAUAUAUAUAUACACAUACAUAUUGUGCAAGAAACUACAGAUUGUGUUGGCAUGCGAAACGACGGCUCAAGCAAACUCUCAAUGAUCAAACGAUGUACUCUUCUUCUUCUGAUAGAAGAAAAGAAGAAAGGACUGGUCAAUUCUUCUGACUUGUGAGUGAUUUUUGAUGAAGUAAAAAGAACACUUGAAGAGAUUGUACUGCUAACUCCGUCUCAAGACGAAUAGUUGUAUGAAAACAAUAUUUUAUUGCCUGGUUCUGAGGUUAUGCAGACAAGACACCAAAGCCACAGCCACAGCCACAACAACAGAACAACACAGAACGUGAAAAAGUUUCAAGGCUCAUAUUAUGGUGUCCAUGAAAUUUUGGGGCCCUUCCAAUUUGAAUUACACCUAUUGGAGCCCUCUAAACUUGGUUCACUUGUUUCAGACUUUGAGUCCAAUGGACAACUCCUGAGAUUACAUUAUGUUAACUGGUUCAUCUGAUGGAUUACCCUACAGACUUGUAUGGUGAUCAAACAUAUAACAAUGAACAAAAAUGAGAAAGCUGCUCUUCAUAUCACUCUAUCAAAUUUGUAAUAGUUAAAAUGGUCUACAUCUUAUACUGAAGAUGCUCUUAUCUUAUUUAUUUCUGUCCAUCAAUUUCAAGUUUUGAACAUCAAGGAACUUCCAGGCACAUACAUAUACCAUGAACGGAACAUGGGCAAGGACUCGAUAAAGACUUGAUUGACGAAUGCUGUAGCAAUCAGCUCCCAAUGGUCGAGAGCAAUAGCCAUAGAUAUCACAUAACUAUCUUUCCUCCAUUUUCUUGUGUAGAUUUAUGAAACCAACAAGAAGAUUUUCAUGCAAUGGUAGGUAGCCCCCGAUUCUUGGACAUAUUAAUGCAGCAUCUCAUCCAACUUCUGUCUGUAUUGAGCUAAUCUCCUAGUA